Molecule: long non-coding RNA, 1606 nt
Organism: Gossypium arboreum
Lineage: Eukaryota; Viridiplantae; Streptophyta; Magnoliopsida; Malvales; Malvaceae
Exons: 2
Source: RefSeq, a predicted model, not a curated record
UGAAGCCCCAACAACAACCCAACUUCUACUCUUACAUUGUUCAUUGGGCCUAAUCUCUAUCAGAGCUGAUGGCGUGAAAUCGUCAUGCAUGGCCUUUAGUGCCGAUCAGCUGAAUGAGAGAAACAAACGUGCAGAGUUUCUUCAAUUGGUACUAUGUUACAUCAAUGUUUGCAGCUCUAAUCGCUGUAACUUUGAUAUUUAUAUUCAAGAUAAUUUAGGGUGUAAAAUGGGUUUUGGGGUACCUAUAAUGCUGAUGUUCCUUUCAGCUAUUUCGUUCUUCUUGGCUUCUUUAUUUACAUCAAGUUGAAAACUAGGGCAAGCUUGCUCACUGGUUUGGCUCAAGUUGUAGUGGCUUCUUUAAGAAAGAGGCACAUUGAAGUGCCAAGUGAAGUUUACCAUAUCAGAGAGAGAUCGAUGCUUCCAGUGCUAAGUGAAAAACUAAGGUACUAGCAUCAUAAUAUACAUCGUCUAUUUUAACCAUUGAAGUGCCAAGUGAAGUUUACCAUAUCAGAGAGAGAUCGAUGCUUCCAGUGCUAAGUGAAAAACUAAGGUUUCUGAAUAAAGCUUGCAUGAUAAAAAAUCCCCAAGAGGACUUAACCUCGAAUGGAACUGCUUCAAAUCCAUGGAGUCUUUGUACAAUAGAUCAAGUGGAGGAUCUAAAAGCAUUGAUCGGAGUGAUGCCGCUUUGCUUCGCCGGAAUCAUGCUGUCCAUAACCGUUAAUCAAGGUCAAUUUAUGGUAAUUCAAGCAGGAACCAUGGAUAGACAUGUAACUUCAAACUUUGAAAUCCCAGCAGGUUCAUUCAGCAUGUUUAUGAUGAACACUAUGGCAGUACGGAUCACAUUCUAGGACCGGAUAGCUCUUCCUUUAGCUUCAAAGAUUAAAGGCAAACCAGUAUGUCUAGGUUUAAAACAAAGAAUGCGGAUCGGUCUUCUUUGCUCUUGUGCAUCCAUGGUAUUCUCAGCAUGUAGAGUGUGUACUCGGCGGAAAAUCGCGAUCGAAGAGGACUUUCCGAUGAACCGCAAGCCGUUGUGCAAAUGUCUGCACUAUGGAUACUGUCGUUUUAUGAUCUAGCUGGCUUGGCUGAGGCUUUCAGUGGAAUUGGACAGAUCGAAUUCUGUUACUCCGAAUUACCGAAAACCAUGUCGACCAUUGCGGCCAAAGUUAACGGAUUCGGAGCCUUCAUCGUGAACCUGGUGGCAAGUUUAAUAAAAAGCUUGGUUGACAAUGUUACUAAAAGGGGAGGGGAAAGUUGGGUUUCAAGCGCGCUAUAUGAAUAAAGGGCAUUAUGAUUACUAUUAUUGACUUCUUGCUGGCUUGAACAUGCUUAAUUUUAUGUACUUUCCGGUUUGCUGCAAAGCGUACGGUCCUUGCCAUGAAGAUAACAAAAACCAGGUUGAGAACUCUGGCAUAAGAGAUCAUAAGAGUAUAGAUCAGAGUUGAGUUUCUCGUAAUAUACGAGCACUUCAGUUAGAUAUGUGUGAGGUCGAACGAACAUCUUGUUGAAAAUAAAAUAAUAAGCUUCACGAAUUGUUGAAAAAUGUUGAAUUUUUUUAAUUUAAGAAAAAUACAGGAUCGUAUUGAACGAGGAGAAUUUAAAUUCAAAA